Molecule: ribosomal RNA, 446 nt
Filed under: uncultured bacterium
Lineage: Bacteria
Description: bacterial SSU rRNA
Rfam family: Bacterial small subunit ribosomal RNA
Source: RNAcentral
UUAUCCGGAUUUAUUGGGUUUAAAGGGAGCGUAGAUGGAUGUUUAAGUCAGUUGUGAAAGUUUGCGGCUCAACCGUAAAAUUGCAGUUGAUACUGGAUGUCUUGAGUGCAGUUGAGGCAGGCGGAAUUCGUGGUGUAGCGGUGAAAUGCUUAGAUAUCACGAAGAACUCCGAUUGCGAAGGCAGCCUGCUAAGCUGCAACUGACAUUGAGGCUCGAAAGUGUGGGUAUCAAACAGGAUUAGAUACCCUGGUAGUCCACACGGUAAACGAUGAAUACUCGCUGUUUGCGAUAUACGGCAAGCGGCCAAGCGAAAGCGUUAAGUAUUCCACCUGGGGAGUACGCCGGCAACGGUGAAACUCAAAGGAAUUGACGGGGGCCCGCACAACCGAAGGAACCUGUGGUUUAAUUCCAUGAUACGCGAGAACCUUACCCGGGCCUUACAUUGC